AUUGAACGCUGGCGGCAUGCCUUACACAUGCAAGUCGAACGGCAGCGCGAGAGCAAUCCUGGCGGCGAGUGGCGAACGGGUGAGUAAUACAUCGGAACGUGCCCAAUCGUGGGGGAUAACGCAGCGAAAGCUGUGCUAAUACCGCAUACGAUCUACGGAUGAAAGCAGGGGAUCGCAAGACCUUGCGCGAAUGGAGCGGCCGAUGGCAGAUUAGGUAGUUGGUGAGGUAAAGGCUCACCAAGCCUUCGAUCUGUAGCUGGUCUGAGAGGACGACCAGCCACACUGGGACUGAGACACGGCCCAGACUCCUACGGGAGGCAGCAGUGGGGAAUUUUGGACAAUGGGCGAAAGCCUGAUCCAGCCAUGCCGCGUGCAGGAUGAAGGCCUUCGGGUUGUAAACUGCUUUUGUACGGAACGAAACGGUCUUUUCUAAUAAAGAAGGCUAAUGACGGUACCGUAAGAAUAAGCACCGGCUAACUACGUG
RNAcentral lists this ribosomal RNA (484 nucleotides) under uncultured bacterium. RNAcentral describes it as "partial 16S ribosomal RNA". It matches the Rfam family "Bacterial small subunit ribosomal RNA", at positions 30 to 507 of the family's 1533-position model. The record is from RNAcentral.